GAUGAACGCUGGCGGCGUGCCUAAUACAUGCAAGUCGAGCGAACAGACGAGGAGCUUGCUCCUUUGACGUUAGCGGCGGACGGGUGAGUAACACGUAGGUAACCUACCUAUAAGACUGGGAUAACUUCGGGAAACCGGAGCUAAUACCGGAUAAUAUUUCGAACCGCAUGGUUCGAUAGUGAAAGAUGGCUUUGCUAUCACUUAUAGAUGGACCUGCGCCGUAUUAGCUAGUUGGUAAGGUAACGGCUUACCAAGGCAACGAUACGUAGCCGACCUGAGAGGGUGAUCGGCCACACUGGAACUGAGACACGGUCCAGACUCCUACGGGAGGCAGCAGUAGGGAAUCUUCCGCAAUGGGCGAAAGCCUGACGGAGCAACGCCGCGUGAGUGAUGAAGGUCUUCGGAUCGUAAAACUCUGUUAUUGGGGAAGAACAAACGUGUAAGUAACUGUGCACGUCUUGACGGUACCAAAUCAGAAAGCCACGGCUAACUACGUG
Molecule: ribosomal RNA, 497 nt
Filed under: uncultured bacterium
Lineage: Bacteria
Description: partial 16S ribosomal RNA
Rfam family: Bacterial small subunit ribosomal RNA
Source: RNAcentral